CUACUUGACUAGCUGAGAGGAGGUGCAUGGCCGUCGUCAGUUCGUACUGUGAAGCAUCCUGUUAAGUCAGGCAACGAGCGAGACCCACGCCAACAGUUGCCAGCUCGUCCUCCGGGAUGGUGGGGGACACUGUUGGGACCGCCUCUGCUAAAGAGGAGGAAGGAAUGGGCAACGGUAGGUCAGCAUGCCCCGAAUUAUCUGGGCUACACGCGGGCUACAAUGGGUGGGACAAUGGGUAUCGACACCGAAAGGUGAAGGCAAUCUCCUAAACCCAUCCUUAGUUCGGAUUGUGGGCUGCAACUCGCCCACAUGAAGCUGGAAUCUGUAGUAAUCGUGUUUCAAAAUAGCACGGUGAAUACGUCCCUGCUCCUU
RNAcentral lists this ribosomal RNA (372 nucleotides) under uncultured Methanomicrobiales archaeon. RNAcentral describes it as "bacterial SSU rRNA". It matches the Rfam family "Archaeal small subunit ribosomal RNA", at positions 968 to 1338 of the family's 1478-position model. Lineage: Archaea; Methanobacteriati; Methanobacteriota; Methanomicrobia; Methanomicrobiales. The record is from RNAcentral.